RNAcentral lists this transfer RNA (73 nucleotides) under Dreissena polymorpha. RNAcentral's name for it is "tRNA-Cys". It matches the Rfam family "tRNA". Rfam says of the family: Transfer RNA (tRNA) molecules are approximately 80 nucleotides in length. The record is from RNAcentral. Lineage: Eukaryota; Metazoa; Mollusca; Bivalvia; Myida; Dreissenidae.
GUCAUUGUAGUUUAAUUGAAAAACGCAUCUUGCAAUGUAAGAUGAGUUCUGGGUUCAAGCCCCAGCAGUGGCC